AGUCGACGGGAAGACUGAAGAGCUUGCUCUUUAUGAAAUCCAGUGGCAAACGGGUGAGUAACACGUAAACAACCUGCCUCCAGGAUGGGGACAACAGACGGAAACGACUGCUAAUACCGAAUACGAUUCUUGAGUCGCAUGACACAAGAAAGAAAGGGUGGCCUCUACUUGUAAGCUAUCGCCUGAAGAGGGGUUUGCGUCCGAUUAGGUAGUUGGUGAGGUAACGGCCCACCAAGCCGACGAUCGGUAGCCGGUCUGAGAGGAUGAACGGCCACAUUGGAACUGAGACACGGUCCAGACUCCUACGGGAGGCAGCAGUGGGGAAUCUUCCGCAAUGGGCGAAAGCCUGACGGAGCAACGCCGCGUGAGUGAAGACGGCCUUCGGGUUGUAAAACUCUGUGAUUCGGGACGAAAGAUAAGUAGACGAAUAAUCUGCAUAAGUGACGGUACCGAAAAAGCAAGCCACGGCUAACUACGUGCCAGCAGCCGCGGUAAUACGUAGGUGGCAAGCGUUGUCCGGAAUUAUUGGGCGUAAAGCGCGCGCAGGCGGCUACUUAAGUCCAUCUUAAAAGUGCGGGGCUUAACCCCGUGAUGGGAUGGAAACUGAGAAGCUGGAGUGUCGGAGAGGAAAGUGGAAUUCCUAGUGUAGCGGUGAAAUGCGUAGAGAUUAGGAAGAACACCGGUGGCGAAGGCGACUUUCUGGACGACAACUGACGCUUAGGCGCGAAAGCGUGGGGAGCAAACAGGAUUAGAUACCCUGGUAGUCCACGCCGUAAACGAUGGAUACUAGGUGUAGGAGGUAUCGACCCCUUCUGUGCCGGAGUUAACGCAAUAAGUAUCCCGCCUGGGAAGUACGAUCGCAAGAUUAAAACUCAAAGG
This 879-nucleotide ribosomal RNA is filed under the name uncultured bacterium. RNAcentral describes it as "bacterial SSU rRNA". It matches the Rfam family "Bacterial small subunit ribosomal RNA", at positions 60 to 907 of the family's 1533-position model. The record is from RNAcentral.